GAGACUCAAACAGCUCAGUAAUGCUUCUGCUGUUGGUUACUGCAUCUAAGACAGGGGGAGCAGUCAAGCCUGGCUUCCUAGAAAAAGUUGGGUUUGAGGAUCUUAAAUGCUUCACCUGUACAGACGAGCUUAUCUCAAUGUAGGAGCCAGAAGAAAGAUAAAGAAAAGUGAGAGAAAGACUAGUAGGUAACAGGAGGAAUGAGAAGAAUGAGUGGAGAAGUGGGGAGACAAAAAAUAAAUCAAGAUAAAUAGCAUAAAUGAAUGUGGACAAAGAUUGAAGGAAAGAGAAAUAUAAGAAGACAAGAGGAGGAGAAAUUGAGGUUAAAAUAAAGGUGAGGGCACAGAAUCUGAGAGCUUCAGAAUACUUCAGAUUACAACGUUCUAACAUUUACUCUUUGCUGGGGAAAGUAAGCAGA
RNAcentral lists this long non-coding RNA (416 nucleotides) under Homo sapiens (human). Its description in RNAcentral is "HSALNT0167700". Lineage: Eukaryota; Metazoa; Chordata; Mammalia; Primates; Hominidae. The record is from RNAcentral.